Mauremys reevesii (Reeves's turtle) is the source of this 198-nucleotide long non-coding RNA. RefSeq lists it as uncharacterized. NCBI's taxonomy places the organism in Eukaryota, Metazoa, Chordata, Testudines, Geoemydidae. The record is from RefSeq and is a predicted model, not a curated record. The transcript is spliced from 3 exons.
AUAGGCCCCCACAACAUUCAACCAAGGUUCAGCCAAUCCACAGACCCUUUCACGCCAAAGUGCUAUGCCAGCUGGAAGCGUCCAGUUAUAUCACUGAAAUGAAGCCAUUGACUGGAGGGCAGCAGCUAGUUGGACAAGUGAGUAAGGGGUACUCUUGGGAAAAGAAGCAGCCUAAUUUCUGCAUGAAGAGGAUACCUG